AUCCAGCUGACGAGUCUCAAGCGGGACGAAAAGCGUGUCCUGGAU
Non-coding RNA from Schistosoma haematobium, 45 nucleotides. The record is from Rfam. Lineage: Eukaryota; Metazoa; Platyhelminthes; Trematoda; Strigeidida; Schistosomatidae.